This is a non-coding RNA of Microcebus murinus (gray mouse lemur), 1193 nucleotides long. Lineage: Eukaryota; Metazoa; Chordata; Mammalia; Primates; Cheirogaleidae. The record is from RefSeq and is a predicted model, not a curated record.
UCCAGUCCUCCAGCUGUUCCCGGGGCUGCGUCAAUUUCUGCUUCCCUCUCCGACAGUUUGGCUCAGCACCUGGUUCCGAAACCUCCCUCCUGCCUCCUGCGCCUCCCAACAUCCACUGCUUCCACCCUGCUUAAGCCUCAGCUCUUACCUGUGCACUGCUGUGACAGUCUUCUCACCACCCUCUCCCAAGUGAGCUAUUUAUAAACCCAUAUCUGAAUGGAUUAGUUCCAUGCUUAAAAUGUUAAAUGGCUUCCCCUUUAUCCCUGAAGAGUAAAAUCCAAGUUCAUUAAUGAACCCUCCCUAUCUCUCCAAUCCCUUCAUUAUCUCUUGCAUCACACCCAGUGAGAUUCUUCCUCCACUUGUAUAUCUCAGAUUGUUCCAUUUCUUUCCAUUCCCCCCACCAUAAUCCAAUUUACUGUCAUCUCUCACCCAGACUUUUUUUUAAACAUGUCUGACCCAGACUUCUGCAAUAGACUCUCAGCUGUUUUCCCCAAAUGCAUCAUUGCCGCCAUCCAGUCCACUAUUUGCACAGUCCACAGAGUUAUCUUUUUAAAAUGUAAAUCUGAUCAUGCCCUUCUAUUAAAAACCUUCAAGGGCUUCCCAAUUGAAGAGAAUUAAGACAAUCUUUAAAUAAUUUACAAAUCUUUUUCUCCAAAAUCUCAUUAGAAGAUUGUCCCCUGCACAAAUUCUAAACUCUAGGCUGUCUCAAGUACUUUUUGUUAUCACAAAGAGUGUUCCCUCUGGCUAGGGCCUUUGCCACAUUGUUUCUCUAACCAGAAACCCACUUCUCCCCCACUGGACCUUCUACCUCUGGUCAGGCUAAUCAUUAUUCCCACGUUUUCUUCUGGGACUCAGCUUCAUUUCCCCUGGAAAGCCUCUCUUGACCACCUUUCAAUCUGGGUUAGUUUCCUCCUCAGAGCUCUCAGACCCUGAGCUUUUCUGUGUCACAGUCUGAUCAAGCUGAAUCAUCUGUCCCUUCUCUGUACAAGGCCUGGCACAUUGCCUAAGACUAGUCAAGUGCAAUAGUGAGAAGAGGGGAAAGAGAACAAGGAGCAACCUCUGCAACUGACUGUGAACCACAAUGGAGAUAACUCACCACCUGCAGACCAGCUUGCCAAUUUAUUGUUUUGUUGAUUGUCUAUGCUUAAGAAGUGAUAGGAAAAGUUAUGCAGAUUAAACUUAGAAGUAUAUCA